Molecule: ribosomal RNA, 370 nt
Filed under: uncultured organism
Description: bacterial SSU rRNA
Rfam family: Bacterial small subunit ribosomal RNA
Source: RNAcentral
GGCCUAACACAUGCAAGUCGAACGGUAACGCGGGGCAACCUGGCGACGAGUGGCGAACGGGUGAGUAAUGUAUCGGAACGUGCCCAGUAGUGGGGGAUAGCCCGGCGAAAGCCGGAUUAAUACCGUAUACGACCUAAGGGUGAAAGAUUUAUCGCCCCUGGAUGGGCCCGCGUUGGAUUAGCUAGUUGGUGGGGUAAAGGCCUACCAAGGCGACGAUCCAUAGCUGGUCUGAGAGGAUGAUCAGCCACACUGGGACUGAGACACGGCCCAGACUCCUACGGGAGGCAGCAGUAGGGAAUCUUGGACAAUGGGCGAAAGCCUGAUCCAGCCAUGCCGCGUGAGUGAUGAAGGCCUUAGGGUUGUAAAGCUC